Long non-coding RNA from Papaver somniferum (opium poppy), 2492 nucleotides. RefSeq lists it as uncharacterized. The record is from RefSeq and is a predicted model, not a curated record. The transcript has 2 exons. Lineage: Eukaryota; Viridiplantae; Streptophyta; Magnoliopsida; Ranunculales; Papaveraceae.
UGUGCCAUCUUGCAAUGUUUAGUGGAGUGUCAGUAGAAUAAAUCUUGUAUAUUGCAGCCUAUAUAAAGGCAUCGUUUAUAUUAAUGAAUAUUGCUAAGAAAGUUUACAACAAUGUAGUCUCUGUGAGUUAUUUGUUCAUUCCUCUCUACUCUCUCUAUGCGAAAUCCUACAUUUGGUAUUAGAGCUAGGGUAGAGAGAGAGUUGUUAGAGUACAAAGAGAGGAUAGAAAAAAUAACUAGAGAGAGACUUUUUUUUUUUUUUUUGUUUUGUUUAUGUUGCUAAGGUUUUUGCGAAGCUUCUUGAAUCUGUGAUUCCUGUGUGUGAGGAAGAAGAAGCUAAAGAUUCGGUUCUUAGAUACGUUUCCGCUGGUGUUGUAGAAGCAUUUUCUCUCAAUAUUGUCUGCAAGGUGAUUUGAAGUUUCAAUGGAGUUGAUGGUGUUGUCGACUAUUUUCAUGACUCUACAAAUGCUUGUUUUCUUGAGAAGUUAUUAUGACUAGGGUGAUGUGAACAAUACUUCUAGCAUGAAGAAUACGUUAUAAAAAAGUACCCAUAAGGUGUUUGUUCUUAUUACUCAAUAGAGUUGGACCUUGAGACAGUACGUUGGGUGGAGCAUUUGUUUUUUCAAGGAAGAUUGAUAGUUUUACAGCAGCUAUGGCAUCAGCAGAAGAAUGGCCAUUGUCUUUUUGUGGAUAUUUAUACUUCUAGAUGCACCAAAUUCCCUGAAGUUGCGCAGGCUGGGUACAUAGAAGGUGAAAGUAGAUUCCCUACUCGCAGUGAUACAAUUAAGAUUAAGAAGUUCCUUAUGUCUUCGGGAGAUUAAGAAGUUCCUUAUGUCUUUGGGAUUAGUAUUUGCUUCUGUGUUUGCGGAAUUGAGGUUGCAUUUUUUUAUGUUUUUCGAAUAUCAUGGGUGAAAGAAAUGUAUGUUUGAGUGUGUAAUACUCAAUUUCCGGUUCAUGGGCCAUUAGAAGACAGACACAAAAGUUGAGUUUGAGACAACACGAAGGUAACCGAAAGUGCAGCGGUCGAGCAACCCGAUUAUAGCCAGAAGAUAAGUUCCAUUCAUUCAUAUAUUUGUGGAGUUACUGUUCCAGUUAGAGAUUUUUCUUAUCAUUCUUAAUGAGUCAGUAAGUGGAGUUGGUACUUAUAUGGGCUAAAGCAUGACAAAUAUGUUACCUUUAAAUUGGUGAUUUGUGUUGUUGGCUAAGGUUCUUUCAGUCCAGAAUGGUGAUGACUGGGUGUGGUACAGUACCAUUGGUACAGUGAUGUUUCACAUUAUUUGCUAGGUCUCCUUCACAAGGCGCUGAUGUUCCCAAGCCGAAACUAUAGGGGUAUCUGGUGGCGCAAUGUUUUUGUGUAGCAUGGUUUUAUACAUGGCAGUUAAUGUAUAGUUUAGUUCCUUGAUGGUUUUACAUAAAGUUCUGAAGUAAUGUGGCGGUGAUAUUCAAAUUCCAACAAGAGUUAGAUAUGGGGUCUUAACUUCAUCAGUAAAACAGUCAGCUGUGAAGAUCAAGUGGUGAUCAGAAUGGUGAUAGCAUUGAUCUAAUAGUAGUGGUCAAGUGAAGUCGCUAAGGUGGGUGUGCAAGAAUUUGUGUACACCAUAAAGUGGAGCAUUUUUGGUAUUGUUGGUUUCUCGUAUGGGUAAUAAUAUAUUUUAUUCUUUUUCUUGUUCAUGAUAGAUGAAUUUGUCGGAGACCAAGCAGUGGUCAGAUGCGGUAAUACAGACCUCUAAUGGUCAGAUGUGAUACUGCAGACCAAGUAAUUGUCACUUGUCAGAUGCGAUAAUGCACACCUGUAAUGGUCAGAUGCGAUAGUGAAGAUCCAGUUAUGUUCAAGUAUGGCUUGCAAAUGUUUUUUUAGUCGUUGGUAAUGAUGGGGUGUUGAAGUUUGUUCAGGAAAUUGUUCAGGAUCUAUGAAUUAGGUUCGGUUGUGUGGCGCAUAAAGUUUGAUCAGCAGUAUCAGUAUGUCUCUCGGGUAGAGAGUUAGAAUCCAAGGAUACAACCAGAAGUAACAGUGAAGCAAGUUCAACCAGGUACUUGUUGAUUUGAGGUGUGAAAGAAACCGAAGUUGAUACCAACAAUUAAGUUAAUGUCAUACUAAUAGUUGAAGUCAUGAUCAACAGCAAGAAUAUUGAACUAGAUUCGGGAAGUGUUGCAGCUGCGCUAGUUAUGUGGUGGAGAAUUUAUUUUUUUCUAAUUUGAGUAGUUUGAGUUUAAGUGAGGAUGUUGGAGUUUGAACUAAACUCAAACUACCUAGUAAGACAAAGUCUUAGGACUUAGUGGAGCGUUAACAAUGUGUGAGUAAUACUCGCACAUAUUAUUGUUUACCGACUAUGUUUUAGUAGUAACUAUUAGUCCUAGGCUUUAAGAGAGUACCAAUCAUGGUUGUAAUGCCUAUUAACUAGAAGUCAGUUGUGCCAUCGUGCAGUGUUUAGUGGAGUGUCAGUAGAAUAAAUCUUGUAUAUUGAGCCUAUAUAAAGGCAUCAUUUACAUUAA